AUAACACGUGGAUAACCUACCCUGAGGAGGGGGAUAACCCCGGGAAACUGGGGAUAAUACCUCAUAGGUUUCAGAUGCUGGAAUGCUCUGAAACCGAAAUGCUCCGGCGCCUCAGGAUGGAUCUGCGGCCGAUUAGGUUGUUGUUGGGGUAACGGCCCAACAAGCCCGUCAUCGGUACGGGUUGUGAGAGCAAGAGCCCGGAGAUGGAUUCUGAGACACCAAUCCAGGCCCUACGGGGCGCAGCAGGCGCGAAACCUUUACAAUGCGAGCAAUCGUGAUAAGGGAACCCCGAGUGCCUGAAACCAGGCUGUUCAGGUGUUUAAAAAGCACCUGGAGAAAGGGCCGGGCAAGACCGGUGCCAGCCGCCGCGGUAAUACCGGCGGCUCGAGUGGUGGCCGCUAUUAUUGGGCUUAAAGCGUUCGUAGCUGGGUUGUUAAGUCUCUUGGGAAAUCUCACGGCUCAACCGUGAGGCGACUAAGAGAUACU
This 486-nucleotide ribosomal RNA is filed under the name uncultured archaeon. RNAcentral's name for it is "bacterial SSU rRNA". It matches the Rfam family "Archaeal small subunit ribosomal RNA", at positions 93 to 585 of the family's 1478-position model. The record is from RNAcentral.